RNAcentral lists this ribosomal RNA (292 nucleotides) under uncultured bacterium. RNAcentral describes it as "partial 16S ribosomal RNA". It matches the Rfam family "Bacterial small subunit ribosomal RNA", at positions 505 to 796 of the family's 1533-position model. The record is from RNAcentral.
GUGCCAGCCGCCGCGGUAAUACGGAGGGUGCAAGCGUUGUCCGGAUUUAUUGGGUUUAAAGGGUGCGUAGGCGGCCCUGUAAGUCAGUGGUGAAAGACUCCGGCUCAACCGGAGACCCGCCAUUGAUACUGCAGGGCUUGAGUGCAGAUGAGGCCGGCGGAAUUUGUGGUGUAGCGGUGAAAUGCAUAGAUACCACAAAGAACACCGAUUGCGAAGGCAGCUGGCCAAGGUGCAACUGACGCUGAGGCACGAAAGCGUGGGGAGCGAACAGGAUUAGAAACCCGUGUAGUCC